RNAcentral lists this ribosomal RNA (440 nucleotides) under uncultured bacterium. Its description in RNAcentral is "partial 16S ribosomal RNA". It matches the Rfam family "Bacterial small subunit ribosomal RNA", at positions 338 to 795 of the family's 1533-position model. The record is from RNAcentral.
CCUACGGGAGGCAGCAGUAGGGAAUAUUGCUCAAUGGGGGAAACCCUGAAGCAGCAACGCCGCGUGGAGGAUGAAGGUUUUAGGAUCGUAAACUCCUUUUGUGAGAGAAGAUAAUGACGGUAUCUAACGAAUAAGCACCGGCUAACUCCGUGCCAGCAGCCGCGGUAAUACGGCGGGUGCAAGCGUUACUCGGAAUCACUGGGCGUAAAGAGCGCGUAGGCGGGAUAGCAAGUCAGAUGUGAAAUCCUAUGGCUUAACCAUAGAACUGCAUUUGAAACUGUUAUUCUAGAGUAUGGGAGAGGUAGGUGGAAUUCUUGGUGUAGGGGUAAAAUCCGUAGAGAUCAAGAGGAAUACUCAUUGCGAAGGCGACCUGCUAGAACAUAACUGACGCUGAUGCGCGAAAGCGUGGGGAGCAAACAGGAUUAGAUACCCCAGUAGUC